This 468-nucleotide ribosomal RNA is filed under the name uncultured bacterium. RNAcentral's name for it is "partial 16S ribosomal RNA". It matches the Rfam family "Bacterial small subunit ribosomal RNA", at positions 28 to 507 of the family's 1533-position model. The record is from RNAcentral.
GACGAACGCUGGCGGCGUGCUUAACACAUGCAAGUCGAACGGAAAGGCCCUGCUUUUGUGGGGUGCUCGAGUGGCGAACGGGUGAGUAACACGUGAGUAACCUGCCCUUGACUUUGGGAUAACUUCAGGAAACUGGGGCUAAUACCGGAUAGGAGCUCCUGCUGCAUGGUGGGGGUUGGAAAGUUUCGGCGGUUGGGGAUGGACUCGCGGCUUAUCAGCUUGUUGGUGGGGUAGUGGCUUACCAAGGCUUUGACGGGUAGCCGGCCUGAGAGGGUGACCGGCCACAUUGGGACUGAGAUACGGCCCAGACUCCUACGGGAGGCAGCAGUGGGUAAUAUUGCGCAAUGGGCGGAAGCCUGAUGCAGCAACGCCGCGUGCGGGAUGACGGCCUUCGGGGUGUAAACCGCUUUCGCCUGUGACGAAGCGUGAGUGACGGUAAUGGGUAAAGAAGCACCGGCUAACUACGUG